RNAcentral lists this ribosomal RNA (485 nucleotides) under uncultured bacterium. RNAcentral's name for it is "partial 16S ribosomal RNA". It matches the Rfam family "Bacterial small subunit ribosomal RNA", at positions 30 to 507 of the family's 1533-position model. The record is from RNAcentral.
AUUGAACGCUGGCGGCAUGCCUUACACAUGCAAGUCGAACGGCAGCACGGGUGCUUGCACCUGGUGGCGAGUGGCGAACGGGUGAGUAAUACAUCGGAACAUGUCCUGUAGUGGGGAUAGCCCGGCGAAAGCCGGAUUAAUACCUCAUACGAUCUACGGAUGAAAGCGGGGGACCUUCGGGCCUCGCGCUAUAGGGUUGGCCGAUGGCUGAUUAGCUAGUUGGUGGGGUAAAGGCCUACCAAGGCGACGAUCAGUAGCUGGUCUGAGAGGACGACCAGCCACACUGGGACUGAGACACGGCCCAGACUCCUACGGGAGGCAGCAGUGGGGAAUUUUGGACAAUGGGCGAAAGCCUGAUCCAGCAAUGCCGCGUGUGUGAAGAAGGCCUUCGGGUUGUAAAGCACUUUUGUCCGGAAGGAAAUCCUUGGCCCUAAUACGGUCGGGGGAUGACGGUACCGGAAGAAUAAGCACCGGCUAACUACGUG